CUUCCAGCUGUCGAACUUGGCUGUUAGUGGACACAGGAAAUGCACAAGGCCAUUCACAAAAUCAGUGCAGACUAGAGACAGGCAACGCGCCCUCAGCAGAGACCGGGGCCCCUGCUCAGAGACUGGAAUGGUUAGCUCCAGGUGGAGUCGAGAUAAUUACACAGCACCCAGAGCAAUUCUCGGAAUGAGGGGAAUAUGAAAUCUGCAAUCUUAAAAAUAGCAGGAGGAUGAGACAUGAGGAGGCAUUUUAGACUGAAAAGGAAGGGGGCUGUCGAGAGAGCACCAAAAAUAAAUCCAGAGACUACACCCCACGGAGAUCUGCACAGAAGGCCAAAAGAGAUGGCUGCAAGGGCAAACCUGCAGCCAGAAACGCCAGCCCGGAGGAAAGGUUCCUCCGAGGCAGCUCCAAGCCCUGGACAGUUUCAGACAAUCAUGAUGAAAUGCAGAAAGAGAAACUGGAACCUAAGUCACUCUGGCGGUCACCAUCCCACGUCAUUCCAUAGGGGACCAGGUCACUGCAGACAGCGCCCGUGCUAACGAAGCAUUUCUCUUUGUUUUUGUAACAGUCCUGGCUGUCCUGGAACUCACUCUGUAGGCCAGGCUGGCCUCAAAUUCACAGAGAUCUGCCUGCCUCUGCCUCCUGAGCGCUGGCAUUAAAGACGUGUUGCCACCACCGCCCGGCUAACGAAGGAUUUCUACCACCCUGGAGAGGCCUCUAUGAAAUCUCCCAAGGAGCUCUGUGGUCCAUGUUCUCUACAGUCUGAACUGAAACAUCUGGAUCAUGACAGCAGGCCAGCUUCCUUUCCUAAGGGCCCAGCUCUCCCUCUUCCUGGCUUAAGAUGUUUUUGUCCCAGCCUUUAGGGUGUGGGGAGGUAUUGGUUUCUCCUCCCUAUGCAGAUGACUGGCUGGCUUCAUCACAAUAAGAAGCAGUCUCUGCAGGUAAAGGAAUCCUGCUUCUCAGAACCAUCCACUUCUAUGAGGGAAGCUGACUGCUAGACCCAGGGACCCAGACAGUAUCCAAUUCCCAGUCACCGCUGUGAGUCUGUAAGGCUCUGAGUCCCAGAAACUGACCUCUUCAUAUUUGCGGUCAGCAUCUUCAGCAAUGUGCUUGGCCUCUUUCAGCUGGAUCUCCUGAAUUUCCAUCUUUUCUUCAUCCUU
Non-coding RNA from Myodes glareolus (Bank vole), 1158 nucleotides. The record is from RefSeq and is a predicted model, not a curated record. NCBI's taxonomy places the organism in Eukaryota, Metazoa, Chordata, Mammalia, Rodentia, Cricetidae.